GUAAAUUAAAUACCGGUUUCCGUACGAUCAGCGAAGUUAAGCAGCGGUGAGCCUGUACCUAGAUGGGUGACCGCUUGAGAAUACCAGGUCUUGUAAG
Molecule: non-coding RNA, 97 nt
Organism: Acanthosepion pharaonis
Lineage: Eukaryota; Metazoa; Mollusca; Cephalopoda; Sepiida; Sepiidae
Source: the annotation of a GenBank genome assembly